RNAcentral lists this ribosomal RNA (852 nucleotides) under uncultured bacterium. RNAcentral describes it as "bacterial SSU rRNA". It matches the Rfam family "Bacterial small subunit ribosomal RNA", at positions 8 to 858 of the family's 1533-position model. The record is from RNAcentral.
AGAUUUGAUUCCUGGCUCAGGAUGAACGCUAGCGGCAGGCUUAAACACAUGCAAGUCGAGGGGCAGCAUGUCCAGCAAUGGAUGAUGGCGACCGGCGGAAGGGUGCGUAACGCGUGAGCAACAUGCCCUAUACAGGGAGAUACACCAGGGAAACUUGGUCUAAUAUCCCAUAGCAUUCAUUGAAGGCAUCUNUAAUGAAUUAAAGCUUCGGUGGUAUAGGAUUGGCUCGCGUGACAUUAGCCAGAUGGUGAGGUAACGGCUCACCAUAGCAAUGAUGUCUAGGGGUUUUGAGAGGAAGGCCCCCCACACUGGGACUGAGACACGGCCCAGACUCCUACGGGAGGCAGCAGUGAGGAAUAUUGGACAAUGGAUGGAAAUCUGAUCCAGCCAUGCCGCGUGCAGGAAGACGGCCUUAUGGGUUGUAAACUGCUUUUAUACGGGAGCAAUAAGGGUUACGAGUAAUCCGAUGAGAGUACUGUAUGAAUAAGGAUCGGCUAACUCCGUGCCAGCAGCCGCGGUAAUACGGAGGAUCCGAGCGUUAUCCGGAAUUAUUGGGUUUAAAGGGUGCGUAGGCGGCCAUUUAAGUCAGCGGUGAAAUUUUGCAGCUUAACUGUAACAGUGCCGUUGAUACUGUUUGGCUAGGAUUUGGUUGUAGUGUGCGGAAUGUGUGGUGUAGCGGUGAAAUGCUUAGAUAUCACACAGAACACCGAUUGCGAAGGCAGCACACUAAGUCAUUAUUGACGCUGAGGCACGAAAGUGUGGGGAUCAAACAGGAUUAGAUACCCUGGUAGUCCACACUGUAAACGAUGAUAACUCGCUGUCGGCGAUACACAGUCGGGGCCAAGCGAAAGC